This 492-nucleotide ribosomal RNA is filed under the name uncultured bacterium. Its description in RNAcentral is "partial 16S ribosomal RNA". It matches the Rfam family "Bacterial small subunit ribosomal RNA", at positions 30 to 507 of the family's 1533-position model. The record is from RNAcentral.
AUUGAACGCUGGCGGCAUGCUUUACACAUGCAAGUCGAACGGUAACAGGCCUUCGGGUGCUGACCAGUGGCGAACGGGUGAGUAAUGCAUCGGAACGUGCCCAGAGGUGGGGGAUAACGCAGCGAAAGCUGUGCUAAUACCGCAUGUGAUCUGAGGAUGAAAGCGGGGGACCAGGCAGCAAUGUUUGGCCUCGCGCCUUUGGAGCGGCCGAUGUCAGAUUAGGUAGUUGGUGGGGUAAAGGCCUACCAAGCCGACGAUCUGUAGCUGGUCUGAGAGGACGACCAGCCACACUGGGACUGAGACACGGCCCAGACUCCUACGGGAGGCAGCAGUGGGGAAUUUUGGACAAUGGGCGCAAGCCUGAUCCAGCAAUGCCGCGUGCGGGAAGAAGGCCUUCGGGUUGUAAACCGCUUUUGUACGGAACGAAAAGGCUCUGGCUAAUACCUGGGGCUGAUGACGGUACCGUAAGAAUAAGCACCGGCUAACUACGUG